This 123-nucleotide ribosomal RNA is filed under the name Chironomus kiiensis. RNAcentral's name for it is "partial 5.8S ribosomal RNA". It matches the Rfam family "5.8S ribosomal RNA", at positions 1 to 125 of the family's 154-position model. Rfam says of the family: 5.8S ribosomal RNA (5.8S rRNA) is a component of the large subunit of the eukaryotic ribosome. It is transcribed by RNA polymerase I as part of the 45S precursor that also contains 18S and 28S rRNA. The record is from RNAcentral. Lineage: Eukaryota; Metazoa; Arthropoda; Insecta; Diptera; Chironomidae.
AUCACUAGACAGAGGAUCAUUUGUCUCAUGUGGCGAUGAUGACCGCCGCAAAAAGCGCGUCGCCAUGUGAUCAACAGCAGACAAGAUGAUUGACAUGUUGUACACAUAUUGCUCCUCAUAUAU